Tachysurus vachellii is the source of this 489-nucleotide long non-coding RNA. RefSeq lists it as uncharacterized. NCBI's taxonomy places the organism in Eukaryota, Metazoa, Chordata, Actinopteri, Siluriformes, Bagridae. The transcript has 5 exons. The record is from RefSeq and is a predicted model, not a curated record.
ACUGAACAAGUUUCUACUUCAUCAGCCAGUCAGGACUUGGGUAUGGACACAACUGCAGCUAAAAGUCAUCCAACUCAGCAAGAUGACUCAGAGGAAUUGGAGUCUGGAAAGACAGAUUCUCCUGUCACACUGACUAUGGUUAAAAUGGAGGAGUUUUGUAUUGCUUCACAUACUGGAGGAAAGUGAACAACCAAAAGCUGGAGCCAUGUUUGUGUGUGGUCCAAUUUCAUCUUAGUUACAUUAAAAAGACGUUUAUGUGUCUAACACAAAUUCAUAUACUUUUAUACACAAAUUAAUAAAAAAAAAAUUAUGUACACAAUUACAUAAAAAAAUCAUCCGCGGACAGGCCAGAGUAUUCCAAUACGUGGUACCAUUACGUGUGUUUCGACUCAUGUUGUCUAUCUUAUUCGUUGUCCCUGUGGUUUGGCGUAUGUCAGUAAAACAUCUAGAUACUUGCGUACCCGUAUCUGUGAGCACCGGAGUAACAUC